GGAAUCUUCGGCAAAGGACGAAAGUCUGACCGAGCAACGCCGCGUGAGUGAAGAAGGUUUUCGGAUCGUAAAACUCUGUUGGUAGAGAAGAACGUUGGUGAGAGUGGAAAGCUCAUCAAGUGACGGUAACUACCCAGAAAGGGACGGCUAACUACGUGCCAG
Molecule: ribosomal RNA, 162 nt
Filed under: uncultured bacterium
Lineage: Bacteria
Description: partial 16S rRNA
Rfam family: Bacterial small subunit ribosomal RNA
Source: RNAcentral